UCCUACGGGGGGCAGCAGUGGGGAAUAUUGCGCAACGGGCGAAAGCCUGACGCAGCGACGCCGCGUGAGGGAUGAAGGUCUUCGGAUCGUAAACCUCUGUCAGCAGGGAAGAACGGUCACUGUGCUAAUCAGCAGUGAAUUGACGGUACCUGCAAAGGAAGCACCGGCUAACUCCGUACCAGCAGCCGCGGUAAUACGGAGGGUGCGAGCGUUAAUCGGAAUUACUGGGCGUAAAGCGCUCGUAGGCGGUAUGUCAAGUCAAGGGUGAAAUCCCCGCGCUCAACGCGGGAACUGCCUUUGAAACU
RNAcentral lists this ribosomal RNA (305 nucleotides) under uncultured bacterium. Its description in RNAcentral is "bacterial SSU rRNA". It matches the Rfam family "Bacterial small subunit ribosomal RNA", at positions 337 to 634 of the family's 1533-position model. The record is from RNAcentral.